Molecule: unclassified non-coding RNA, 136 nt
Filed under: soil metagenome
Description: partial internal transcribed spacer 1
Source: RNAcentral
CCUAGAGUUGUAGGCUUUGCCUGCUAUCUCUUACCCAUGUCUUUGAGUACUUACGUUUCCUCGGCGGGUCCGCCCGCCGAUUGGACAAUUUAAACCAUUUGCAGUUGCAAUCAGCGUCUGAAAAACUUAAUAGUUA